UGACAGUCGAGCGGACAGAAGGGAGCUUGCUCCCGGAUGUUAGCGGCGGACGGGUGAGUAACACGUGGGUAACCUGCCUGUAAGACUGGGAUAACUCCGGGAAACCGGAGCUAAUACCGGAUAGUUCCUUGAACCGCAUGGUUCAAGGAUGAAAGACGGUUUCGGCUGUCACUUACAGAUGGACCCGCGGCGCAUUAGCUAGUUGGUGGGGUAAUGGCUCACCAAGGCGACAAUGCGUAGCCAACCUGAGAGGGUGAUCGGCCACACUGGGACUGAGACACGGCCCAUACUCCUACGGGAGGCAGCAGUAGGGAAUCUUC
RNAcentral lists this ribosomal RNA (320 nucleotides) under Bacillus sp. (in: firmicutes). Its description in RNAcentral is "bacterial SSU rRNA". It matches the Rfam family "Bacterial small subunit ribosomal RNA", at positions 56 to 366 of the family's 1533-position model. The record is from RNAcentral. Lineage: Bacteria; Bacillati; Bacillota; Bacilli; Caryophanales; Bacillaceae.